GGACCAAGGAGUCUAGCAUGUGCGCGAGUUACUGGGACUCGAUAAACCUAAGGGCGCAAUGAAAGUAAAGGCACGCCUUGCGCGUGCCUAGGGAGGAUGGGUUGUUGUCAUGACACGGCCCCGCACUCCCGGGGCGUCUCGCACUCAUUGCGAGUUGAGGCGCACCCAGAGCGUACACGCUGGGACCC
Molecule: ribosomal RNA, 188 nt
Filed under: Oxytelus sp. 7 BT-2011
Lineage: Eukaryota; Metazoa; Arthropoda; Insecta; Coleoptera; Staphylinidae
Description: partial 28S ribosomal RNA
Rfam family: Eukaryotic large subunit ribosomal RNA
Source: RNAcentral